AAAGUUUUAAGUUAAGUAAACUAAAGUCCUUCAAAGUCUUAAUUAUUAGUACAAACCUAUUAAACUUUA
RNAcentral lists this transfer RNA (69 nucleotides) under Oncopodura yosiiana. Its description in RNAcentral is "tRNA-Trp". It matches the Rfam family "tRNA". Rfam says of the family: Transfer RNA (tRNA) molecules are approximately 80 nucleotides in length. Their secondary structure includes four short double-helical elements and three loops (D, anti-codon, and T loops). Lineage: Eukaryota; Metazoa; Arthropoda; Collembola; Entomobryomorpha; Oncopoduridae. The record is from RNAcentral.